RNAcentral lists this ribosomal RNA (546 nucleotides) under Escherichia coli. Its description in RNAcentral is "partial 23S ribosomal RNA". It matches the Rfam family "Bacterial large subunit ribosomal RNA", at positions 1007 to 1556 of the family's 2925-position model. Lineage: Bacteria; Pseudomonadati; Pseudomonadota; Gammaproteobacteria; Enterobacterales; Enterobacteriaceae. The record is from RNAcentral.
GUCGUGAAGAGGGAAACAACCCAGACCGCCAGCUAAGGUCCCAAAGUCAUGGUUAAGUGGGAAACGAAGUGGGAAGGCUCAGACAGCCAGGAUGUUGGCUUAGAAGCAGCCAUCAUUUAAAGAAAGCGUAAUAGCUCACUGGUCGAGUCGGCCCGCGCGGAAGAUGUAACGGGGCUAAACCAUGCACCGAAGCUGCGGCAGCGACACAUAGUGUUGUUGGGUAGGGGAGCGUUCUGUAAGCCUGCGAAGGUGUACUGUGAGGUAUGCUGGAGGUAUCAGAAGUGCGAAUGCUGACAUAAGUAACGAUAAUGCGGGUGAAAAACCCGCACGCCGGAAGACCAAGGGUUCCUGUCCAACGUUAAUCGGGGCAGGGUGAGUCGACCCCUAAGGCGAGGCUGAAAAGCGUAGUCGAUGGGAAACGGGUUAAUAUUCCCGUACUGGUGGUAACUGCGAUGGGGGAACGGAGAAGGCUAGGUUGUCCGGGCGACGGUCGUCCCGGUUCAAGCAGGUAGGCAGAGUGAUUAGGCAAAUCCGGUCACUUAAUGC